UACGAAGGGGGCUAGCGUUGCUCGGAAUCACUGGGCGUAAAGCGCACGUAGGCGGAUUGCUAAGUCAGGGGUGAAAUCCUGGAGCUCAACUCCAGAACUGCCUUUGAUACUGGCAAUCUCGAGUCCGGGAGAGGUGAGUGGAACUGCGAGUGUAGAGGUGAAAUUCGUAGAUAUUCGCAAGAACACCAGUGGCGAAGGCGGCUCACUGGCCCGGUACUGACGCUCAUGCACGAAAGCGUGGGGAGCAAACAGG
This 253-nucleotide ribosomal RNA is filed under the name uncultured bacterium. RNAcentral describes it as "partial 16S ribosomal RNA". It matches the Rfam family "Bacterial small subunit ribosomal RNA", at positions 524 to 776 of the family's 1533-position model. The record is from RNAcentral.